GGUGUUGUAGCUCAGUGGUAGAGUGCUUGCCUCGCAUACAGGAGGCACUGGGUUUGAUCCUCAGCACCACAU
RNAcentral lists this transfer RNA (72 nucleotides) under Marmota monax (woodchuck). RNAcentral describes it as "tRNA.Ala". It matches the Rfam family "tRNA". Rfam says of the family: Transfer RNA (tRNA) molecules are approximately 80 nucleotides in length. Their secondary structure includes four short double-helical elements and three loops (D, anti-codon, and T loops). Lineage: Eukaryota; Metazoa; Chordata; Mammalia; Rodentia; Sciuridae. The record is from RNAcentral.